AUUAUGACAUUCCGCUGCGUGGACAGUUUUGGUAGCCACAGCGCGUCUAUAGUCCGCGCUCGUCCCCAAGCGGAGUCAGUCGUAUUCCAGCAGGAUAUCUGUCCCCAUCUCAUGUACAUUAAAUUGUUUUAUAUUGUUUAAAAUAUAAGACAUUAUAGUCUGUUUCGCCAAGCGUACUUUAUUUGAUUUGCCGUCGUGUAGACGUACAUACAGCACGUGUGUGCACACUGCACACCGGUAUUUUUACGGCACUUGCAUUAUUUACAUUGGUCACGAGUAAUCGAAAUAAUUGUAAUUUAUUACGUUGCAAUCACAAUUUUCUCGUCACAGCCAUAUCGACCAUAACAUAUUAUUCUUCUGCCAUUAUUUAGUCCUCAACUGCAGUCCUCGGUGUAAGUUGUUGGGCACAUGACACGUUUCCACGACUCACGAUAUAGCUCAUAUUAUAAUAUUAUACUGUAGACGGUGUAACAUACAGAUCUACCUUUUUCAUCGAAACGUCCUGUCAUCGUCGUAUUUGCCGAUUUUCAAUCGAUUGGGUUUGAUCGCAUUGUAUUAUUCAAAAAUGGAAAAAAACUAGAAGAUUCACAUUAUUUCUUGCUACUCUAUGUUUUAUUUGUGCGGUUAACGAAGCCACUACGAUCGUUCACCCAACAAAAACUGCACGACUACAUCAGAGAAUUGUAAAUCAAAAAAAGAGCCGUUGUAUUUUUUUUGCCAUUUGGGAGUUUAAAUCAAAAUUAAGUUUAAGGGUUGUACUUAUGAAAACUACUGCCAACUCUGUUGUGAUGUAACCCUGAAAUUCUAUGGGACUCAGACCCUAUAAAUAUUAAACAAUACAUAAUUUAUCAUGCACACAUAUAUUGUUGACUAAAAAUGUAACCUAACCUAUCAAAAUACAACAAAAUACUGGAACAACCAAACAUCAAAUUCAACAACAAAAACACCAAGCACAUUUACGUAAAAUACAAUAUAUAAUUCCGACCAUAACAACCACAACCACUAUCUCAACCAGAACAUUACUAACCUCAAUGAAUGCAUACCUAUAUACCCAUUCUGGAGACAACUCAUAUACAUACGUAAAAAUAUUUAUAUUUAAAUAAAACAACGCGAACGAACACAUACGUCAAUCAACAUUCAUAAUCAAAAGUAACGAAAACCCUUACAUCAUCCAACAAUCCAUAGCUAAUAUUUUAUUAUGAAAACGACAGAACAUCAUCACAAUAACAAUUUGAAAAAUACACACUUCCUUACGCUAUGUCCCAGCUUUCACCCAACAAAAACUGCACGACUACAACAGAGGGUUAUAAAUAAAAAAGAGCUGUUUGGGAACAAUACGUUAUGGCAUUUGGCAAAACAAUACCCGGUUAAAUAAAGUCUUGAUCAAGUUUAAGUAACAAUUUAUAGGGUUAUUGUACUUACCGACGUGACUGCCAACAUAAAAAUCAUUGUGUGAACCGUGAUGGAGUUGUGUACCCUACACUUCCUAUAUUUUAUUGUUGUUGUGAUGUAAUUCUAAAAUUAUAUGGACCCAGCCCCUGUCAAUACUGUAAAGCCAGAACCAAGCGAUACGGACAAAAUAUUUCAUGUACAAUUAGCAGGAUAUUUUGUAUUUAUUACUUUAUGUUAUUCGGCUUAUAAUCAUAGAAAAAUAUAUGAAUUUAUUCAAGUAAGUAAAUUUAAUAAUUAUUUUUCUUUUGUAAUAAUGGAUUGAAUAGGUAACUCGUAAUAACGAAUUGGACAACUAGUAAUAACGGAUUGGACAAUGGUACGAUAUAGUUAUCGUACGCAUACAAUAAUUUAAGCCAUUUGUAUUUUGUACGAAUAUUGUAGGUACGAUCAGUGUCGCAAGACAAAAUUCCCCAUUAGCAUUAUACCGGGGAUUGACUAAAUACAAAUAAUUUAUGAGAAUUAUUAUAUAUACUUGUGAUAAUCCAUAAAAAUGAGAUUAAAAAAACAUAUGGUUUGCCCUUCAACGCUUCCGUAGAUAUAGGCUAUUAUGGUUUUAGUGUUAAACUGUGUCAUUAUUAUUAUAUUUAAAUUUAAACUAGUUAUUGUAAAUCUAUAUAUUAAAUAUUAUAAUUACGUAUAUU
Molecule: long non-coding RNA, 2093 nt
Organism: Acyrthosiphon pisum (pea aphid)
Lineage: Eukaryota; Metazoa; Arthropoda; Insecta; Hemiptera; Aphididae
Exons: 5
Source: RefSeq, a predicted model, not a curated record